CUCUCUCUGUUUCAGCUUUGCUGCUGCCUCACCCUCAUACCAUGCACUGCUGUGAACAGCCCAGCUGCAUCUCCUCUAUUCCUCCCAGGGAUGCUGUUUGGUGCCCCCAAAGCUGCUGCUCCCUCUGGCUGAACCAGCCUUGGUUCCACAGCUUCUCAGUGAUGCUCUGCUGAACUCAGUUAUCUUUGUCAAUUUCUGUCUUGUGCAUGCUGCUCCUAAAAAUGUAUGCACAACCAUGGAGCAGAGGGGAACAAUCACCUCCAUUGACCUACUCCUUGUGCCCCUGUUCUUCCAGCACAGUGUGCCGCUAAAUGCCUUCAUUGCUGCCCAUGUGAAAAUAAAUUGGUGACAGGACUUGUAAAUAAAAUACAGAAUUUUAACAAAACGACAGGGGUGGAAACUGCAUCUAGUAAACAUUUCUCCAUUCUUUCCAUCUCCAGCAAUACCAUUUUAUAAAAUGGAGAGUUAUUUUAAGUAGUGGAAUGCUGCAGAAGACUGAAGAAUAAUACUCCUAGAAAAAUCCAUUAUUUUCAAUGGAUAAUUGGAAUGUGGGACUGAAGGGGGACCUCAGGAAGUCAUCUACCCUAUCCUACUACUCUGAGGCACAUACAUUUAGAUCCUUGAUUGUGUGUUACCUAUUCUCUGGUAUCUCUGUGUUUUCAUGUUCUGCAUUCAUAGCCUGCAUUGUAUCUUAACAGGCCGCAAUGAAGCUUUUUUCCCUGUUACAUAACUGUCUUUCUGUGAAUGAUACCAAUUACCAGUUGUCUUAACAAUAAAAGGAAUUAAUCAUAUUUUCUUCAUCUCAGCGUAUUAUGGAUUUGAAGGCUGUUCUCAUGCCCUGUAAAACUUUUUGUCUUCUAAACCAGGCAAAAUAUUUUACACUUUUUCCCUAGGCUAUUUUCUUAAUUCUCUCAUUUAUAUUCCACGUAAGUCUUUGCAACUCAUGUACUUCUUCCAGUUAAAGCUUUGCAAGCAUCAAUAUCUUCUCUAUAUUACCAUUGUUAUCUCCUAUAUGUUACCAGAACACAGAAAGACUUUGCUAUUUUUAAUAUCGGGUUGCAUUUGGGAUUCUUACUCAGUUUGAAGUCCACUGUAGCCUUAGGUCUUCCUCUACUACUCACCAAUCCUUACUUCAUUUUGUGUGGGUGUAUUUUGCUUUUUACUUCUGAUAUCUAGGUCUGCAUUUCUCUCUACUGUAUGCCAUUACUCAUAUAACUUUUACCUUAUAUCGGGUUUGUUUACUUAUUUAUCUUACUCCAGCACUGCUCUGUAGAGUACCUGCAAACCCUUAUCUCAAAACUGUAUUCAUUUACUUGUGCUUUCAGAUCGAACUUGUUUACUGAAAAUACUGGGCACUACUUUCCCAAGUAAGCAUUUGUGAGCUGAUGACUCUUCCUUUUUUCAGUGAUAGCUGCAUUCAGCAGUUGGGGGUGGGGUUUCUACCUGCUGCACACAUGCUUCAUGGCAAUUUAAUUUAGACCAUGGUUUGCCUAGCACAGCCCUGUGGGACUCUGCUGAAGACUUGCAUAACCAAAAUGCAACUUCAAUAUCAAAAUAAUAUGGUAAUGGUUACUGCUCUAGUUUGCAUGUAAAUUAAUUGUCUUCCUUGGUUUCAAACAGUCCUACCCAAAACUUCUGUUCUUUUGUAAAUCCUAAUAAUAGUGAAUUUGGCAAAAAGAAAACACUUCUGUGUGUCCUUGAGAUGCUGUCAGAGGUCUCAUGUAGUCACACCACUACAUUGUGCUCUCCAUACUUUCUGGUUUGAUGUUUCAGGAUAUGGAGAGAAGGGUAGGGUAAUGUUGACUUUUCUGGUUUAGGUCUAAUCUUGCUUCCUCUUAUUUUUCUCUGUUGGAGUCGAUCUAAAAUAAUUAAAAAUCCAGCUGACAGGACAAGAAUGGCUCCUGCCAUGUAGAAGCCUGCUCUGUAAUCUCCAGCCAUGUCCACAAUCAGACCUGGAGAGAAACAAAUGACAGGAAUAUGAUUGAUGGAGAACAGGCUAAUGUAAAUUAGCUCAGCAGUGUGUGUGAAUAUAUCCUCUUACAAAGGCAAUGUGCUGGGCUACAUACUUGUCUACACCAUAAGUACAUGGAACAUCACCCCAAGUAUAGCAUUUUUCAGUUUGAAACAUUAUUCAUGUCUCAUUGUUUUUCUUACAUGAAUUGCUAGAGAAACAAUUUAUUAUACAAGUUUGAAGCACUUUCCAACCUAAAGUGUGUCAGACAGUGCAGGCACUGGCAGAAAAAAAAGACAGAC
Taeniopygia guttata (zebra finch) is the source of this 2253-nucleotide long non-coding RNA. NCBI's taxonomy places the organism in Eukaryota, Metazoa, Chordata, Aves, Passeriformes, Estrildidae. The record is from Ensembl.